AGAGUUUGAUGAUGGCUCUAACUGAACACUGUCCAAGUACUUGACACAUGCUAAUCGAACGACUAAUUAGUUUAAUCUAAAAAUUAAAUUAAGUAGUAGUGGUGUACAGGUGAGUAAAAGAUAAAUUGGCUACCUUAAAGUAAGGGAAAAAAUCCCUUAUAACCAAAGGUUAAUGUAAUAUCCGCUUUAAGAUGAAAAUUUUUAUCUCGGUGAGUAGUAGGAAAGGUAAUGACUUUUCUAGCAAUAAACCGUAGUCGUAACUGGAAAGUUGAUCGACCACAUUGGGUCUGAAAAAAACCCAAUGCUUUUAUGUACAGCAGUGAGGAAUAUUGGUCAAUGGCCGAAAGGCUGAACCAGUAACUUGGAAGAAUGUAAUUGUAUAUUUUUAUAUUUGUAUUACAAUAGCGAUUCAUUCGCAUAAAAUUCUAAAUAGAUUUAAUAUAAUGACAUAAUCUAUUUAUAAGUCUUGGCCAAACUACGUGCCAGCAGUCGCGGUAAUACGUAGGAGGCUAGUGUUAGUUAUCUUUAUUGGGUUUAAAGGGUAAGUAGACGGUAAAUUAAACUCUAAAAGAGUACUUUUUUACUAGAGUUAUAUGAGAGAAGGAAGAAUUCCUGGAGUAGAGAUAGAAUACGUUAAUACCAGGAGGACUGUCAACGGCGAAGGCGUCCUUCUAUGUAAUAACUGACGUUGAGAGACGAAGGCUUGGGUAGCAAAUAGGAUUAGAUACCCUAGUAGUCCAAGCAGACAAUGAUGAAUGUCAUGCAUUAGAUAAAUAUUUAAUGCAUAAACGAAAGUGUAAGCAUUCCACCUCAAGAGUACUAUGGCAACAUAUAAACUGAAAUCAUUAGACCGUUUCUAAAACCAGUAGUGAAGUAUGUUAUUUAAUUCGAUAAUCCGCGAAAAACCUUACCACAGCUUGCAUAUCAUAGUUCAAUAUUGAAGUUUUAAAAAUAUUUUAUAUUUUUAUUUUUGAUAUUUACAUAAUACUAUGAUACAAGCGCUGCAUGGCUGUCUUUAGUUAAUGUCGUGAGAUCUGGUUAAUUCCUUUAAUUAACGAAAACCCUCACUUUAUUUAUUUAUAUAAAGUGGUUCGCUAUUACAUCGGAUCAGAUAAAAGGGAUUAAGACAAGUCAUUAUGGCCUAAAUGCUGUGGGCUAUAGACGUGCCACAUUCGCCUUUACAAUAGGAUGCGAAAUUGAAAAAUGGAACCUAUCCCUAAAAAAGGACACUUAAUUGUGAAUAGAAGUCUGUAACUUGACUGAUUGAAAAAGGAAUUACUAGUAAUCGUGUAUCACCAACGUCACGGUGAAUUUUAUCUUAGUUAGGUACUAACCACUCGUCAGGCGCUGAAAAAAGUAGAUGCAGUAAGUUUGAUUUUUUCUGUGUAAAUUUAUAUAUAAUUAAGAUAUAUAAGUAUACAGGAUUGUUUUCGUAUGCAAAACUUUGAUUGGUGUUAAGUCGAAAUAUGGUUCGUGUAAUGGAAAUUGCACGGG
This 1494-nucleotide ribosomal RNA is filed under the name Archon apollinus (false apollo). RNAcentral's name for it is "bacterial SSU rRNA". It matches the Rfam family "Bacterial small subunit ribosomal RNA". RNAcentral also lists the same sequence under 1 other name. The record is from RNAcentral. Lineage: Eukaryota; Metazoa; Arthropoda; Insecta; Lepidoptera; Papilionidae.